Acipenser ruthenus (sterlet) is the source of this 410-nucleotide long non-coding RNA. RefSeq lists it as uncharacterized. The record is from RefSeq and is a predicted model, not a curated record. The transcript has 4 exons. NCBI's taxonomy places the organism in Eukaryota, Metazoa, Chordata, Actinopteri, Acipenseriformes, Acipenseridae.
CUCGGUCUGCUGUUACAGGGGUGGCUCCUCCUCCAUUGGCUCAUCUUGUGACCUGAACAGAUUUUGAAGGUCAUUUUCUGGUAUUUAUUUACUUGAAAUAAAUGGACCACUUCCAGUAGUUGCAGAAACACAUGUUUCGGAUGCAUCACAAAUGGCGGUGAGGUCAUGACCCCCUUCCAAAGCAAGCACCACGCGGCCCCCAGCCAAUCCCAUCAGCUGCUUUGUCAGGUAGCCAAAACCUGCCACAGGAAACAGGAAAUGCAGUAAAGGUCAAAGUUUGGUGGGUGACUUUGGCUCUUGGAUCGUGAUCAAAGGGUAGAGGGAGAAAAAAGUGACGCUGUACCCUCCGAGUGGAGAUGGGUGUCCCUCGACCGCAUCGAAUCCUGAAGAAACCAGCACCACGUCGGGAG